GCAUAUCACGUGGUGAGAGUGUGAGC
RNAcentral lists this non-coding RNA (26 nucleotides) under Homo sapiens (human). Lineage: Eukaryota; Metazoa; Chordata; Mammalia; Primates; Hominidae. The record is from RNAcentral.